AUCUAGCUGACAAGUCCCAAAUAGGAUGAAACAUUCGUCCGGGAU
Molecule: non-coding RNA, 45 nt
Filed under: Schistosoma curassoni
Lineage: Eukaryota; Metazoa; Platyhelminthes; Trematoda; Strigeidida; Schistosomatidae
Source: RNAcentral